Molecule: long non-coding RNA, 2228 nt
Organism: Phascolarctos cinereus (koala)
Lineage: Eukaryota; Metazoa; Chordata; Mammalia; Diprotodontia; Phascolarctidae
Source: Ensembl
CAGCACCUCUGGCCAUCUCUGCUCCUCCCCCUGUGGUCCUCUCCCUCCCUGUGGUGCCCUUCUGACCCUCUCCUCCUCCCCUCUCUGCCCCUUCCUGUGCCUUUGACUGCAUCCCUUUAUCCCUAGGGACAGAGCAGGCUCCUUCCUUUCUGUCCUUGAGAGACCUCAAGGCAGGGUGUGUCUGAGGGUCUCCUGAUAGAGGCCCUGGUGAAAGCCCAUUCCUCUUCCUACCCAAAGAGGCCUCUUUCUGGAUCAUCGCCUACACAUCAAGUGGCUGCCCCUUCUAUGAGCCUAACAGUGCAGAACCAGCACCACAGGGACUCGUGACUGCCCUCUAUCCAGGAGCUCACCCCAAAGCAGAGAGGAGAAGGAUCCUGCAACCAAUUAUCGAAAAUGAAUGCAGACAUUGAAAUGCACAGUGAAGAGUCCAAUAUCACCAAGAGAAGUUGAUGAGAUGGCAGAGAAGCAAGCAGCAGGUGUGUUCUCCAAGGGGAGAAAUGCAGUAGCCCAGGCAGCAGUUGCCGAUUCUGAAAUCCAGGAGGAAGAGGAGCCCCAGGGAGCUGCUGCAAACCCUGGCCCAGCACCUAGGCAGACGCCUGAUGUGUUUCCUUACCACCCCAAAUAUUCAUGGGGCCCAAGAAAAAAGGAGAAAGUAUGACCAGAAAGGCAGGCUGAUCUGUAAUGGUAUCGAUCUGUGUGACUGCCUGCAGGUUGAUUGUGCUGGCUGCUUCUAUCCAUGCCCCAGGUGCAACUCCAGGAAAUGUGGAGUCAAGUGCCGCCAGAAUCGCAAGUGGGUUUAUAACAAGGUGGAGGAUGAAUCUGGCGAGUGGUCAAGUGAUUUCCCUUUGCAUUUCCUGAAUAAGGUCCUGGCGACACUGGCUCCCCUUUCUGUGAGGAUUGAGCUGGCUUUUUAAAAAAAAUGAGCUUUAGGCCUUAGGCAAAGAGUUGAAAUGGACCUAGUGUCAAUUGAUCAUUCCGGCUUUGGGGACCAAUGCCAUCCUCCCCAAAGGAUUCCAUCAUUUUAGGAUUUGUUUUUGGUGUGGAAAAGAGAGUAAGUCUUUCUUGCCCUGCCAUCUUUCCACCUUCAGUGACUUCAGAUAUGUCUUUAAAGUUUGAAAAAAGAAAGAUGGCAGGGCAAGAAAGACUUACUCUCUUUUCCACACCGAAAACAAAUCCUAAAAUGAUGGAAUCCUUUGGGGAGGAUGGCAUUGGUCCCCAAAGCCGGAAUGAUCAAUUGACAUUUCAACUCUUUGCCCAAGGCCUAAAACUCAUUUUUUUUAAAAGCCAGCUCAAUCCUCAACAGAAAGGGGAGCCCAGUGUCGCCAGGACCUUAUUCAGGAAAUGCAAAGGGAAAUGCAUUGACCACCUUGCCAGAUUCAUCCUCCACAUUGUUAUAAACCCACUUGCAAUUCUGGCGGCACUUGACUCCACAUUUCCUGGAGUUGCACCUGGGGCAUGGAUAGAAGCAGCCAGCACAAUCAACCUGCAGGCAGUCACACAGAUCGAUACCAUUACAGAUCAGCCUGCCUUUCUGGUCAUACUUUCUCCUUUUUUUCUUGGGCCCCAUUGAUAUUUGGGGGUGGUAAGGAAACACAUCAGGCGUCUGCCUAGGUGCUGGGCCAGGGUUUGCAGCAGCUCCCUGGGGCUCCUCUUCCUCCUGGAUUUCAGAAUCGGCAACUGCUGCCUGGGCUACUGCAUUUCUCCCCUUGGAGAACACACCUGCUGCUUGCUUCUCUGCCAUCUCAUCAACUUUCUCUUGGGUGAUAUUGGACUCUUCACUGUGCAUUUCAAUGUCUGCAUUCAUUUUCGAUAAUUGGUUGCAGGAUCCUUCUCCUCUCUGCUUUGGGGUGAGCUCCUGGAUCUUAAGAAUGAUAGCACAGAACACAUCAUCACUAAAAGCAUACGAGUGUGACGGCAAAGCUGAUUCAGAGGAUGCUAAUGCCACAAACUUUGGAAAAACAACAUUUGAAAGAUUAUUUUAAUUUUUAAAACAUUGCUAUGUCUCCUGUGAAAAUUCAACAUAACCAUCAUCAUGAGCUGGACAUUAGUUGAUUUUCAAACUUCCUAAAAACUCUCAUCAGCUGAUGAUCAAUGAUUGAAAAGACACCACGUGCAAUUCUAGCCUGAAGAUAAUGUAAAGAGCAAAGUUUUGAUGCGUAUAGGACAGCUUUCACAUGGCCCCAGAAGAAAAAAAUCGCUAGUAGAGAUAGAUCAGUUAAUCAAGGUGG